Molecule: unclassified non-coding RNA, 253 nt
Filed under: uncultured Parcubacteria group bacterium
Lineage: Bacteria
Description: contains 16S-23S intergenic spacer region
Rfam family: Bacterial small subunit ribosomal RNA
Source: RNAcentral
UACAGAAGCCUCGAGCGUUACCCGGAUUCACUGGGCGUAAAGGGUGCGUAGGCGGUUAUAUUAGUCUCGCGUUAAAUCUUCGGGCUCAACCCGAAACUCGCGUGGGAAACGGUAUAACUAGAAGAAGUGAGAGGUGUGCGGAACUCAAGGUGUAGGGGUGAAAUCCGUUGAUAUCUUGGGGAACACCAAAUGCGAAGGCAGCACACUGGCACUUUCUUGACUCUGAGGCACGAAAGCGUGGGUAGCGAAUCGG